GAGUUUGAUCGUGGCUCAGAUUGAACGCUGGCGGCAUGCCUUACACAUGCAAGUCGAACGGUAACAGGUCUUCGGAUGCUGACGAGUGGCGAACGGGUGAGUAAUACAUCGGAACGUGCCCAGACGUGGGGGAUAACGAGGCGAAAGACUUUGCUAAUACCGCAUACGAUCUAAGGAUGAAGCAGGGACCGCAAGGCCUUGCGCGUUUGGAGCGGCCGAUGGCAGAUUAGGUAGUUGGUGGGAUAAAAGACUUACCAAGCCGACGAUCUGUAGCUGGUCUGAGAGGACGACCAGCCACACUGGGACUGAGACACGGCCCAGACUCCUACGGGAGGCAGCAGUGGGGAAUUUUGGACAAUGGGCGAAAGCCUGAUCCAGCAAUGCCGCGUGCAGGAUGAAGGCCUUCGGUUGGUAAC
Molecule: ribosomal RNA, 416 nt
Filed under: uncultured microorganism
Description: bacterial SSU rRNA
Rfam family: Bacterial small subunit ribosomal RNA
Source: RNAcentral